UGGAUUUCUUGGUCUAGUUUUAAAUUUAAUUCUUGGUAUUGUGUUUGUAAAUCUAACCCAUUGUCCGGUUUGGGCUAGAUCUGUGUUAUGUCUCUUACAAAUCUUUCAUUUGAAUGAGUUUUGCUUAGCGACUCAUGGUUUUUGUUUGACUGGUUGUAGAAAUAAAACGUAUGGGACAAGUUCUUGUUGUUGUUGAUGGCAUAUUGAAUCUUUUUGAAAGAUGCGGUUAAUAGGCUUAAUGCUCUCGGGGGCAGAGAAGAUGAGCUCUCUCCUUCAGUUCAACAUGUAAAGACUCUUCCGGUGUAUCUCCAUAAUCCAUGGUCGGAAAAAAUUCUUCUUGGGGAGGAGGUUCUCUAAGCUUGACAUAGUACAAGGUUUACAAGAGUGAUAGUUUGCAAACCGAACGGGAAAGAGAAAACCGAUGAAUGGUUUAAAGAACCGAUGUUUCAACAUAUUGAAACAACUUUGACCCAAGAAAAAACAUAUUAAAACAACAAAAUCGCUA
This is a non-coding RNA of Prunus avium (sweet cherry), 505 nucleotides long. NCBI's taxonomy places the organism in Eukaryota, Viridiplantae, Streptophyta, Magnoliopsida, Rosales, Rosaceae. The record is from RefSeq and is a predicted model, not a curated record.